This 4988-nucleotide long non-coding RNA is filed under the name Lynx pardinus (Iberian lynx). Lineage: Eukaryota; Metazoa; Chordata; Mammalia; Carnivora; Felidae. The record is from RNAcentral.
CAGGAGGCACAGGAGAGCCCCCAGGGGGAUAUUUCCAGGCUAUGCGAUCAGCCUGGUCAGUAAGGGGCCCUAUCGAAGGCUUCGCCAAGAGCUACGACCUGCCAAACCAGUUUGUAAACCAGCCCCAGCCACUUUGGGGUGACUUUGCACGUCCGGAUGAAUGCAAGUGUGGAUGCUCAAACAAUUCUCUCGAUGUUUGGUUUCCUUUUAACUUAAGAAGGGCUUUCACUUUUCUUCCCAUUUAUCUAUUUUGCAGCUGGUUCUUAGAUACGCUGCAGCCCGGCCUGUUUAUCUCGUGAGCUUCAGAAGGCAAGCCGCCCCCGCCCGCCAUGGCUCCUUCCCCGUGUGAUUACAUCUUUCCUUGGUAAUGGGGUUUUGACUGGCCUUUUGUAUAACGCUCAGCCACAAUGGGACAAGAAUAUUCUCCCCUUAUUUUUAUCAGGCGCUUUUAUUUCCUGAGCUGUUUUUGUAAGUGUGCUUGUUUCUGGUUUUGCUCCUCGUCUGGAAAGGGGCCCGGGAUUCUGGGAUAAGAUUAGAUGCCCUGGUGUGUCAACUGGUCUUUAAAAGAAAGAAGCAAAAGUUGAUCACAUGCUGAAGCUCAGGGCCAAUGCAGAGCUACCUCCCAAGAGACCAAUCAAUUUCAAUUAAGGAGAUUAAAAGCCCCGAGCACAGAGAGGCCCCGUCACGGGUUUCUGAAUGCCCUGCUCUUCCCGCAGCCUAAAAGCAGCCAGUGGACCCCAGAAGCACUGGGUAUUGUCCUCCGGGCCAGUGUCAAGACAACAGUGAGGGAGCGAAUGCGAAAGACGCAGCCAGCUGAAGGGGCUCGGUGAUUCUUCACGGGACCCUGUUGGCAUUUGGGGCAGGGCUGACCUCCAGCGUCCUUGACCCCGCCAAGCAUCCAGACCCAAAUUACUGGCCUAACCCAACCUAGUCCAAACUAACAGCCCCCACAGUUCCCAGGGGCAGAACCACCCCAGGCACCCAGCAGCCGCGUCCGAUGCGCUUUCCGGGUGGAGAGCUGGUCCUCGUGGUCUGUCCGCUCCCCUUCCGCUGGGCCAUUGCAGAGGCUCUGAGUCUGCUCCCUCCCCCCCCACGAGAUUCCAGGUCCCCUAACUGCUUGGGCAUCCUCGAGCCCACACCACUGCAGGGGAAGAGCACAGGCCAGAGCAGGGGUGCCUAGUGGAGGAGAGGGGCUUUAGCGCGGCACGGGGGCACGGCUGAGCCCACCUCUGCCUUUUACCGGCUCUGCACCGCCCCGGAGUCAGCACGUGACCAAGUUUCUUUUCAAGACCAGUUGCCACACCAGGGCACCCACUGUGCCUCCAGAUACCUAAGUGAGCCUCACUUUUCAUGUUUAUGAAAAAGGAGCUAUAGGGGCGCCUGGGUGGCUCAAUCGGUUGCUCGUCCAACUCUUGGUUUCAGCUCAGGUCGUGAUUCCAGGGUCGGGGGAUUGAGCCCUGUGUCGGGCUCCUGUACUGAGCGUGGAGUCUGCUUGGGAUUCUCCCUCUCUCUCUCUCUGUUUCUCUCUCUCUCUCCCCAUCCCUCUGUCCCUCUCUCCCUCUUUCUCUUUCAAAUUAAAAAAAAAAAAAAAAAAAAGGAACUACCACCUGCCUCUCAGGGUUUGCCGGGCUCACAGGAGGUAAUGUGUGCACAUCGAGUCCUGACAUCCCCAGCCACUGUCCGCGGGCAGGCUUUCUGCUUACAGCGGCACCGGGCAGGUAGGGGAGGCGGGGGUAGGAAUCACAGCACCCCAGAUCUGGUGACUUUUGUUCAGAAGCCAGUGAACCUGUUAGGAUCGGAUGAACAUGCUCUGUCCACUGUGAAUGCUGUGGAAAUAUCGAGGCUUUGUCACGGGAUCGGGGGCGGGUGGCAGGAGAACGGGGUGGGGGGGGAGGCCUGAGGCAGGGGAGUGUGCAGGGAUGCAGGGGAGGGGACCGAGGCAGCAGGAGCCAGCACAGGGCGGGAAGGAAGAAGGGUGGGAGGAGCAGGAGGCUGACACAGUUACUUGCUGGGCAGGAAGGAGAAGUGGUCGGGGUGUCAGCUGUGUGCACCGAGCCGCUACAGAGACCCUGUUGAGAGAACUGCAGGGGCCCGAAGCCACUGCUCCCCGGGCCUUCUCUCUGCGGCUUGUCGUCUGGCUGCUUUCCUCCCACCGGGCCGGCCCGGAGAGUGAAGGGGGCGGAGGGGAGGCUCGGUCCAGGCCGCGUGGCUGCUCGUCUGGUCACCUAAAGGACAGGGCGGGGCACUGUCGAAAGCAACUGCAUCCAGAAGUAUGGGGUCACAGCGCUCCCAGCCCUUGUGGGGUGCAUGCACCUGCCCAAGGUCACUUCAGUUCAUGGCAGGGCCAUCUCCUGUCUUCCUCUCCUGCACCCCCCGGCCUCCUGGGCCUGCUUUCUUCCCUGACCUACUUCUCCCAAGAUAAUUGAGAAACGAAUGACUAAAGCUGCAGGCUCAGGCCUGUUGUGAAAGGUUGGGAUGGCUGUUCAUCGACGUUAAAACAUCUGGACCUUUUUUUCUAAAACAAGAAAAAUAAGUCUUGUGCAGAUUGCGUUAUAUCAAGAUCGCCUUUUUCUUGAUACAAGUUUUUUUUUACAAAUGUAGAAAAAUGGAACUUACCAUUUCUGUCAAAGAGGAAACUAUUGCAGUAUGGAGCUUAAAGGAAGCUUUUAGUUGCCAAGGAAGGAGGCGAUGAGCUUCCUGGAGGAAGCCUCGCCUUGAGGUGGGACCAGCUUUAUGGGAUCCUGAGCCGCCGGCCCUUCCUUCUGGAGACAGAAAUCUGUCGGGUGGCCUCACACGAGGGGGCAUGCGGGUGAGGUGUGGCCUCCCCAUCAGGCAGUAGGAAGGGACUGGGGUGUGAUGUGCCCUGGGACCUGCCUUCACACACAGCACCUGUAUGGGCGGGGCUGUGUCCUUCGGACGUGGCUUUGUCGUGCCGUGGCCUGGGAACCCAGGCCGUUUCUGAUAAAGACCCGAGAGAAGACACGCUACCGCUGGAGGUGGCCCCAGACAGCAGGAGCCGGCCUGAGCCACAGCGACUUGGGCUGUCAGUAGCAGAGCCUGGGUCUCGGUCGGUUGGGGCUGUCACAACACACACUGUGACAGAAGAAGCCACUUCCUUCUCACAGUUGUGGAGGCCGGAAGUCUCAGAUCUGUCAAGGUGCUGGCCCAUGCAGUUCCUGGUGAGGGUUUUCUUGCAGACAGACACCUUACUGUGUCCUCACGUGGCAGAGAGAGCAAGAGAUCCGGUGGCUUUUCCUCUGACAGGGACACUAAUCCCAUCGUGGGUGCCCCACCCUCAUGACCUCAUCUAAACCUGAUUCCCUCCCAAAGGCCCCACCUCCAAGUACCAUCAAGUUGAAGGUCAGGGCUUCAGUCUUUAACUGCUCUCUCUGCCUCACCAUUACCUUUAUGCCUCCUCAGUCGCUUACGCGGACCUCUGGGCUGAGCUUCUCAAACUAUCCGUGGCGAAGUUUUCUUAUUCGCAAUAGGGGAUGACGUGUGGUGAGGAAAAUGAAAUUAUUGUGUAAAAAAGACAUGAAAUGCAAGCUCAUUUCUUUCUUUUUUUGUUUUUAUUAGAUCCCACUGACAGAGCGUUGCUGUUGAGUUGGUGUGGAUGCUGCUGAAUGCUGUCACCUUCUGUAUUCAUCUUGGGGAGCAGAACCCAGCCUGUGGGGGCCUCCUGCACAGACCGCCCUUUGAAUGGUACCGUCGGGAGCCCCGUGGGAUAGUCUGUCAGCCCCCACGUCAGUGGGACUCUGCCACUUCCAGAGACAGAGACCCGAGAUCGGAUCCCGGUGAAGAGGCGGGACUCCUCCCAAGGGGACAGAGCAGACUGCUUUACGAGAGCCAAGGGGCCCUCUUUCCCAAAAGCACUGGAUGUCAGAGCAGAGGGGCUGGGAAUCUGAACACGAGUGAAGGUUUCCCAGGAGAGACUCUCCUGGCAAGGCCGCUGGAGAGAGAAAGCUCACCUCAGCCUCCGACCAGUUGACCAAGUGUCAAGUCUUUCGUUAAGAUUUGCUGACCAAAGAGGAGAGGGACGCGGGUUCCCUCUGUUCCUCCAUGGUGUCCAAGCUCAGCAUGGGGCUCGGGAGCACCAGACAGCUGGGAGGUCUGUGCUGUCUGGGCUGUAGCUCCGUAAGCCUCGCAGGCACGACCCUGGGGCACUGGGCUGUCGGGAGACCAGGGGUCUCUGAUUCAUCAUCAGUAACGCGGCGGCGACAGCCCUGCAGUCGUGGUCGUUUGCUGGGGAGGCCCUUACAAGACCCCACAGGAUGAGUGGUGUAAACAACAGAAUUUUCCUUCCCCACCGACCCUUCCCUCCCGGCCUCAGAAGGAACCAGCUCUGCCCACACCUUGAUUGCAGAUUUCUAGCCGCCACAACCGUGAGGAAGGAAAUUUCACCUGCAGUGAAAUGGGGGGUGAGCCUGCGAUCCCCCCAGGUUCAGCCUGAUUGUAAGCAGAUUAAGGCUCAGCGUAGAACUCUCGUGGUGCGGCCUUCUGACGCGGCUGAAUGUGGGACUUCGACCGUGUAAUCUUUCCAAGUUAAAAUGUAUUUAUAAAGCACAGAUAAUAAAAAUAACAUCUAUUUAUCUCCCUAGGUGUUCUGAGCCUUCAGUGACGCUGGCAGCGAUGAUGCAUUACAAAACCAAACAAAUUAGUCCUCGGGACAGACGACCCGGGGGCAGAUCAACGACCACAACAGAAAAGACAAGCUUUCAAACCAACGAGAGAAGACAAGAUUGUAAUGCCUUCCUAACAACCUUGCUUUAUUGAUGCAAUGCAAGGAAAACUACAUUAGAUUCUAUUGAUUCUCUUUGAGAUCUAAUAAUAUGCUCUAUUCAGAUCUUAUUCACAUACACUUCCUCCACAGUCUUUCUCAGGAGCUGAAAUUGGCCAGUUACAAACAGAAUUUGUUCUCCUGUCCUUUGAAAUCACAGAAGCGGACGUGUUUUCGAACACAAAAGAUACGAAGCUUUCUUUGGGAAACA